This is a long non-coding RNA of Varanus komodoensis (Komodo dragon), 3600 nucleotides long. RefSeq lists it as uncharacterized. The record is from RefSeq and is a predicted model, not a curated record. NCBI's taxonomy places the organism in Eukaryota, Metazoa, Chordata, Lepidosauria, Squamata, Varanidae. The transcript is spliced from 3 exons.
CGACAGAGCCCCUGCGGGCUGGGGGUGGAGCGCGAGGAGGUCGCAGUCGGCCCCGCGUGGGAACGGCCGGAAACCGGGCCCGCGUGCGGCCUCGCGAGGCCCUUCCUCGCCGGCCUGCCCGGCUGGGCUUUGCGCGGGGGCUGCCCCUUGCCGAGCCGGCCUCGCCGAAAGACGCUCUGCCGGUGCGCGGGCGUGCUGCCGGGAGAGAGGCUUCAGCUGGAAACGAGACCGGCUUUGACGUCUUCGCUGGACGAAGCAAAAUGGUUUGCUGUGUGCUUUUAUGGCGAAGCUAAAUAGCUGAGCCUAUAAUGCGGGGAAACGGGUGCACAGUGUGGGAUGAACUUGAAUUUGGUUUUGGCUGAGAAACUUGGAAGAGGCAUGGGGGUGGCCUGUUCUGUAAACGUAAACAGGUCUGACUGUUCCUCUCAGUUUCAAGAGUUAGUAAAAACUGAUUAAGGUCUAUGUAGAGUAGGUCCAUUGACAUCAAUUGGGUCGUCACAUUUCUGGAGCAGGGCUUCAAAGUGCUGGCAGCUUCCACUUGACAAGCGUGCCUUUUGUAGGUGCACUUGUACGAUGCUCCAAAGUAUGUUCCGUUUCCCCGCAUAUCUAUCUACCCAGACAUGGAGGUUAUCUUCAGGUGUCCUCCAGGAGACCCUUCCAAAGGCAGGUAGGUGUGGUUACCGGGAGGGAGGGUCUUUUUGAUUGUGGCACGGCCGGUUUUGGAAUGAACUCUCCAAGGUGAUGUAUCCUUUUCAAUGCCAGGUAUAUACAUUAUUUUUAUAUAUACUAUUUUGUUCAAUUAUGCUUAUGUGCAAUUGCCAAUUUUAAGUAUAGUUUUAUUCUUUUAAAUUAAUGUGCAUGUCUUUUUAACAAAUUUAAUAAGGAUAGUAGAGUCACCACAUAAUAUGAAAGAAGUUUUGAGUUUUCUUUAAUGGACUAUAUUUUUUCUGGGCUUGUUCUGGUUAGAUGUUGUAGCAGUCAGUGGUUCUAAUCUAAAAUUCACGUUGUAGGUUAUUCCACUUUUGUCACCCAAUGUGAUAACUGGCUGGGUGACAUCUGUUGCCCCCAAUCCAAAAAGAACUUGGAGGCUUGGGUCUGCAGGACUCCCUUACAAUUUUAAUAAAGCUCUAAAUUAGAUCUCACCCCUGGGAAACAAUGCCUCAGGUAUAAAAGCUUUUUAAAAUGCAGCCUAUGGAAUAAAUUCUCUACCUUAAAGUAGUAGUCUAGAUCCUGCAGUGCAGAGAUGGGGUGAAUACCAUCCCAAGAGAUUGAAGGAAGAAUAAGAUGUUCAUUAAUGGAAAUUUAUGAGAGAGACUAAAAUGUCGCUUUUCCUGGUUGAGGUUAAAAAUUCUUAGAUAUAAACUAAUUCCUAAAUUGACUUUCCCCACUAAAUCGCAAUAGUUUUUCUGUUAGAGCUGACUUCCUUGUGAUAGGAUAAAAAACCUUAAAGUUGUCAUCCUUUUGACAAAUCUUGCUGCAAGUGGUAGGUGUUAUUUUUGUCAAGAUUAUUCAUGUUAUUUAAACAGGAAAGUGAGUUUGCCAGUUUUGAAUAUGGGUUGUGUUCUGUUGAUGAGAUCUCAAGAACGGAGUCUUAUUUGUCCAUACUACCAAUAGAACUGCCACUAAGACUUAACCAUAAUAAAUGGGGUGUCCAAUAAAAGCCUUCUGAAUGCAGAACAUGUGCUGGUAGGUACCCAUUUUCCAGAAAAUACACUACAUAUGCUAAUGUUUUUUCCAGUACAAAGUACAGAGGUGAAGAGCAAAUGUAUAAACAUAUAAGGGCUUUUUAAAAAAUACUGAGUGUAUUGCAGAUGUUAAACUCUGACUUGGAAAACAUCUUUGACUGAAUGUGACCACCCAAUGUAUUCCUGACAUUUUGUACAUACUUUGUGUAAUGAAGUUGAUGGGACGCUGGAAAAUAUUUACUAUAUGAAGGUAUUGAAAGCUGCAUAACUAAAGGCAGGACAUCCUUCACUCAAUAUUCCAAGUGAAGUUGACACCCAAGCAAACAGGUGUGGGCUUGUUGACUCAUCAUGCAGCUGGAUCACAAAAUGUUAUGCUUCUGUACAUGGGUACUCAAGCUACAGUCCAUGGGCUGAAUCUGGCCCACCAUACCCGUUUAUCAGGCCUGCCAUAGGUUUUGGACUCACUUGGAGAGGACGAUCUCUGAGCAAGUCCAAAAGCUCUGAGCCGGCGUAGGCAUACUCAGUGGGGAGAUGGGCGCGAUCGCGGUGGUGCUGGGGGGGGAUAGCCAUGGUUGCGCCCAUCCUCCCCCCCCAGCAUGAUUGCGGACAUUGUAGCUAUAUCCCUUGAAUAGGGACAUGCUCUUCCCCACCUCAUCUUGGCUUCUGCAGCCCAAGUGAGUGAGGCAAACAUUUUUCAAUUGCUUUUUAAAUUUUCAAUUAAUGUGCAGAGUUCAUUCCUAUUUUUUUUUCAAACUAUAGUCCAGCCCCCUAACAGUCUGAGGGACAGUGAACUUGGCCCCCUGUUUAAAAAAGUUUGAGGACCCCUGCCUCUGUGUGAUAUUUGCUGAAUAAGCUUUGCCGAAAAACUGGAAGGGUUCUGUGACUGCAACGGUCCUGACAAUCUUUGGAGGAAUUGUUUCGGGACUGCUUGCUGAUGUUUUCUUUUGUCAAACAUUAAAUAGGAACCUAAAAUUAGUAUAUCUCGGUUCGCUCAUAAAAGCAUUCCUGAUAUAUUAAACAUAAAAUAAAGUUUAUUCAGAAAACUACAACUAUACUGGAUUUGGUUUUAAAUGUUCUUAAAUGUGGUGAUAUUUAGUUAACAGCUUUUCUGUACUGUCCUUCACUGAGUCCCAGGACAAUAAUACAAAAAAAGCACAGCAUCAACCAUCAAAUGACGACAAAACCCAUCUCUAAAUGGUGUCAACACAUAAAAUGUUUUGGUCCGAUGACAUAACUGGGGUGCCACCACAGAAGGCGCUUCUCUGGGUAGCCACUCUCCUGAUCUUCAGGGAGGGUUCCCAAGGGAGGACCUCCUGUCCAGAUCAUAUGGGGCAGGCAGGUAUGUAUAUUUUGUAAGCGGUGUUACCCACAAAAGACUGUUCAGUGUUCCUAAAGGAGCCUUCCUGAACUUGUUGGCCUCCCAGCAUCUUGAACUGCAGUGCCCAGCAUUCCUGACCACUGGCCAGGCUGCCUGAGGAUGAUGGGAUCUGGAGUCAAGCAUUUCUGGAGACUACCAGGUGGUGGAAAGUUGUUCUAAUGCAACAAAGAUUUGCAAAAAGCAUUAAAAUCAUUUGAAUAGUAUGCUGAAUUUCCUUCAAUUUUUUUCUAUCAUUUCAGAAUUUCUGGAAAUUUUACACUUAAGUCUGUACAUUAAAAAACCAGUCUUGUACUCUGGUGCAAGCCAAGGAUCUCAUUAGUUGGGGAUGGAAUGUCAGUGUUCACUUUACUUUGAGAACAAAAGUGGAUCAUAAAAUAUAUUACAGUGCAGAAUACAGUGGUACCUUGGCUCACAAACUUAAUCUGUUUCACAACUCUGGUCACGACCCCAAUUGGUUGUGGGCCAAGUCAAAUUUCCCCAUAAGGUUCCAUGUAAUUAAGGUUAGUAUGUUCUGUAAUGUUUUAAUCACAAAAAUUU